RNAcentral lists this ribosomal RNA (326 nucleotides) under uncultured eukaryote. RNAcentral's name for it is "partial 18S ribosomal RNA". It matches the Rfam family "Eukaryotic small subunit ribosomal RNA", at positions 1470 to 1796 of the family's 1831-position model. The record is from RNAcentral.
CCCUUAGAUGUUCUGGGCCGCACGCGCGCUACACUGUUUGAUUCAGCGAGUCUUAACCUUGACCGAAAGGUUUGGGUAAUCUUCUAAAGUCAAACGUGAUGGGGAUCGAUCAUUGCAAUUAUUGAUCGUGAACGAGGAAUUCCUAGUAAAUGCAAGUCAUCAGCUUGCGUUGAUUACGUCCCUGCCCUUUGUACACACCGCCCGUCGCUACUACCGAUUGGGUGUGCUGGUGAAAUGUUCGGAUCGGCCGUUUGUCGCGGUUUCCGCGGCUCGUGGCUGAGAAGUUCAUUAAACCCUCCCACCUAGAGGAAGGAGAAGUCGUAACA